UCGUGAAAUCUCACGGCUUAACUGUGAGCGUGCGGGCGAUACGGGCAGACUUGAGUACUGCAGGGGAGACUGGAAUUCCUGGUGUACCGGUGGAAUGCGCAGAUAUCAGGAGGAACACCGGUGGCGAAGGCGGGUCUCUGGGCAGUAACUGACGCUGAGGAGCGAAAGCGUGGGGAGCGAACAGGAUUAGAUACCCUGGUAGUCCACGCCGUAAACGGUGGGUACUAGGUGUGGGUUUCCUUCCUUGGGAUCCGUGCCGUAGCUAACGCAUUAAGUACCCCGCCUGGGGAGUACGGCCGCAAGGCUAAAACUCAAAGAAAUUGACGGGGGCCCGCACAAGCGGCGGAGCAUGUGGAUUAAUUCGAUGCAACGCGAAGAACCUUACCUGGGUUUGACAUGCACAGGACGCCGGCAGAGAUGUCUGGUUCCCUUGUGGCCUGUGUGCAGGUGGUGCAUGGCUGUCGUCAGCUCGUGUCGCGAGAUGUUGGGUUAAGUCCCGCAACGAGCGCAACCCUUGUCUCAUGUUGCCAGCGUGGUAAUGCCGGGGACUCGUGAGAGACUGCCGGGGUCAACUCGGAGGAAGGUGGGGAUGACGUCAAGUCAUCAUGCCCU
Molecule: ribosomal RNA, 612 nt
Filed under: uncultured bacterium
Lineage: Bacteria
Description: bacterial SSU rRNA
Rfam family: Bacterial small subunit ribosomal RNA
Source: RNAcentral